RNAcentral lists this small nucleolar RNA (92 nucleotides) under Anas platyrhynchos platyrhynchos (common mallard). Its description in RNAcentral is "Small nucleolar RNA SNORA13 (ENSAPLG00000027067.1)". It matches the Rfam family "Small nucleolar RNA SNORA13". Rfam says of the family: ACA13 is a member of the H/ACA class of snoRNA that guide the sites of modification of uridines to pseudouridines. Lineage: Eukaryota; Metazoa; Chordata; Aves; Anseriformes; Anatidae. The record is from RNAcentral.
UGCCUUUGUGUUGCCAAUUCAUUCCCUUCUGAAAUGAAUGUGGUGUCAAAAAAAGGCAGACAAGAAUUCUUGCUCAAACUGCUUAAAGAGUU